RNAcentral lists this transfer RNA (77 nucleotides) under Caudoviricetes sp. Its description in RNAcentral is "tRNA-OTHER". It matches the Rfam family "tRNA". From Rfam's summary of the family: Transfer RNA (tRNA) molecules are approximately 80 nucleotides in length. Their secondary structure includes four short double-helical elements and three loops (D, anti-codon, and T loops). The record is from RNAcentral. Lineage: Duplodnaviria; Heunggongvirae; Uroviricota; Caudoviricetes.
ACGUCGUUAUUUCAGUUUGGUAGAAGACCGCCUCGUCAAGAAGCGGGGAGACACAGGUUCGAGUCCUGUACGGCGUC